GAUCUCAGAUCGUUCUCAGCACAAACUCCAUCACCUGGUUCCCAGAACUCAGAUUGCGCAGUA
RNAcentral lists this small nuclear RNA (63 nucleotides) under Sus scrofa (pig). RNAcentral's name for it is "partial small cajal body-specific RNA 17". The record is from RNAcentral. Lineage: Eukaryota; Metazoa; Chordata; Mammalia; Artiodactyla; Suidae.